UCCGGUUACUAUAGCGAGAAGGAAACACCUGUUCCCAUUCCGAACACAGAAGUGAAGGGUCUCAGCGGCGAUGGUACUGAGGGGUAGACCUCGGGAGAGUAGCACGUAGCCGGUU
RNAcentral lists this ribosomal RNA (115 nucleotides) under Kiritimatiellales bacterium. RNAcentral also lists the same sequence under 1 other name. The record is from RNAcentral. Lineage: Bacteria; Pseudomonadati; Kiritimatiellota; Kiritimatiellia; Kiritimatiellales.